GGAAUAUAAGAACCCGUCUCUUAACUUUUAACUAAAAAAGCUAAGAACCGGUUCUUAAAACUUAUUUAAGAACCGGUUCUUAGUUUUUUUAGUUAAAAGUUAAGAGACGGGUUCUUAGC
Molecule: microRNA precursor, 119 nt
Organism: Brassica oleracea var. oleracea
Lineage: Eukaryota; Viridiplantae; Streptophyta; Magnoliopsida; Brassicales; Brassicaceae
Rfam family: MIR9563 microRNA precursor family
Source: Rfam